Molecule: ribosomal RNA, 515 nt
Filed under: uncultured archaeon
Lineage: Archaea
Description: bacterial SSU rRNA
Rfam family: Archaeal small subunit ribosomal RNA
Source: RNAcentral
AAACUUUACAAUGCACGCAAGUGUGAUAAGGGGAUACUUAGUGCUUACGCUUCUGGCGUAGGCUUUUGUCGAACGUAGACAGUUAGGCGAAUAAGUGGUGGGCAAGACCGGUGCCAGCCGCCGCGGUAACACCGGCGCCACAAGUGGUCAUCACGAUUAUUGGGCCUAAAGCGUCCGUAGCUGGUGCGGUGCAUCCCUUGUGAAAUCGUUCGGCUUAACCGAACGGCGCGCAGGGGGCACGGCCGCGCUCGAGACCGGGGGGGGGCAGAAGUAUUCCAUAGGGACCGGUAAAAUAGGAUAAUCUAUGGAGGACUACCGAUGGCGAAGGCAUCUGCCCAGAACGGAUCUGACAGUGAGGGACGAAAGCCAGGGGAGCGAACCGGAUUAGAUACCCGAGUAGUCCUGGCCGUAAACGCUGCGAGCAAGGUGUCGCGCGUCCCAUGUGGACGCGCGGUGUCGAAACGAAGGUGCUAAGCUCGCCGCCUGGGAAGUAUGGUCGCAAGACUGAAACUUUA